Helianthus annuus (common sunflower) is the source of this 213-nucleotide non-coding RNA. Lineage: Eukaryota; Viridiplantae; Streptophyta; Magnoliopsida; Asterales; Asteraceae. The record is from Rfam.
ACGACCUUACUUGAACAGGAUCUGUUCUAUAGGCUCGUACCUCUGUAUUCUUGAUUCCUAAGAAGACAGAAACCCAUGUCUGGUUGAUGAAUGAAAACCGUGUGACUAGAGCGUGAUUAACGGAGCUUCAUGGUCUUGACCAUGGCUCGGUAGAGGAUCGUUGUCAGCCCAUCUGAUGGGUCUUGGCAUGGUCACAUGGUUAUCUGACAGACA